AUUGAACGCUAGCGGGAUGCCUUACACAUGCAAGUCGAACGGAGUGGCGAACGGGUGAGUAAUGUAUCGGAACGUACCCCGUCGCGGGGGAUAACGACGCGAAAGCGUAGCUAAUACCGCAUACUAUUGGAGUGGCCGAUACCGGAUUAGCUAGGUGGUGGGGUAACGGCUUACCAAGGCGACGAUCCGUAGCUGGUUUGAGAGGACGACCAGCCAACCUGGGACUGAGACACGGCCCAGACUCCUACGGGAGGCAGCAGUGGGGAAUUUUGGACAAUGGGGGAAACCCGGAUCCAGCCAUCCCGCGUGUGCGAGGAAGUCCUUCGGGUUGUAAAGCACGUUUGGCAGGAAAGCGGUACCUGCAGAAUAAGCACCGGCUAACUCCGUGCCAGCAGCCGCGGUAAUUC
Molecule: ribosomal RNA, 407 nt
Filed under: uncultured bacterium
Lineage: Bacteria
Description: partial 16S ribosomal RNA
Rfam family: Bacterial small subunit ribosomal RNA
Source: RNAcentral